Molecule: long non-coding RNA, 1224 nt
Organism: Amphiprion ocellaris (clown anemonefish)
Lineage: Eukaryota; Metazoa; Chordata; Actinopteri; Pomacentridae
Exons: 3
Source: RefSeq, a predicted model, not a curated record
UAAACAAAAUAAACACGUAACAAUUCAUUCUGUGCUAUUUUUCAGUGUGAGUCAGUGAGUGACCGGUGACUGGCUGCUGCAGCCAAUGAUGCGAUUCACAUACGUAUUUACCAUAGACUGUAUAUAAUGGUAUUUACGCAGCUAAUCAACGUCAUUGACAGGCGUCCUUAUGUGCAGCCAUCGUUGUUGUCAUAGAUAUGAAUGAGUAGAUAGGACACACCCCUUUGAGCUACGUGCUACUGCGAGGCUAAGCUAGUGGGGGCAAAGUUUCAGUGCAUUCCGUUGAUGUAGACGGCGUGAAAACGGAAACAACAAGUAUGCCUGCUCACUGUGCUGCAUACAAUUACACACUACGUCGUACGAUUGAGACAAGGAAACUUGGAAUGACUUUUCAUAGGUUUCCCAGAGACUAUGGGUUGAGGAGGAAUUGGAAGUUUGUCGGCUUAGACCUGGUGUCAUUCCAUCAGUGUUAAACUUCCCGGCUCAUCUUGGAAGAGUACGUGCCAGAAAGACCACGACCAAGCAGCCUUGAGAUCUUAGACAGCGUCUCCCUGAGACCAAAGAACUACAGACUCUUCACAACCUGCUCAAACUCUUGGUACAGGACCUCACCACACGGGUCAAGAAGGUUUCCAUCUCCUCAUUUCUACUCUGAAGCUCACUUUCUCCUAAACGCUAAAGUCUCCUGCAGCCUACCAGAGAACCUCUGAGAACAGAAAAUCAGGACAGGAACUCUUACCUUCUGGACAACCAAGAAUACAGAAUGUGUCUGACCAAAAACCUCUGAAGACUCACUACAGCCAAGAUAAAGACACAACUCAGCUGCACCAAAUCCACUAAUCACUGCACACAUUAGUACCAUGUGCUGACUGUGGCUAAAGAACCACAUUUACCAAGACAACUAUCCAGUACAAAGCCCUAAAACACACCAAGAAACACAUUAAAGACGAUUUUACUGCUGGAAGCUGCAAGCAAACACCUAAAGCACAAACUAAAGCAAUGGAGCCAAACCCGGUUCACUGGUGAAGAGAAACAGAGGAAAUGUUUGUCUGCUGCUAAAUAAAGCAGGAAGACAGUGAGCUGCUCAGGUGUUCCUGAUAACACCAAGCAGCCACCUGGACAGCCAAUAGGAACACAGCUUACUGGAAGUCCAGAGGGCGGGGUUAGUGAAGGAAAUUUAGUUUAAAGUUGAAGCAGAAAGUUAAUAAAGAAAGUUGAAAACCA